AGAGUUUGAUCAUGGCUCAGGACGAACGCUGGCGGCGCGCUUAACACAUGCAAGUCGAGCGAGAACCAGGACUUCGGUCCUGGGGACAGCGGCGAACGGGUGAGUAACACGUGGAUAACCUGCCCUCGGCACCGGGAUAGCCCGGGGAAACUCGGAUUAAUACCGGAUAGCCCACCUGGCUUUCGAGCCGGCUGGAAAAGGUAGCUUCGGCCUCUGGCCGAGGAUGGGUCCGCGGCGGAUUAGCUUGUUGGUGGGGUAACGGCCUACCAAGGCUCCGAUCCGUAGCUGGUCUGAGAGGACGAUCAGCCACACUGGGACUGAGACACGGCCCAGACUCCUACGGGAGGCAGCAGUGGGGAAUAUUGCACAAUGGGCGCAAGCCUGAUGCAGCGACGCCGCGUGAGGGAUGACGGCCUUCGGGUUGUAAACCUCUUUCAGCAGGGAAGAAGCGAAAGUGACGGUACCUGCAGAAGAAGCACCGGCUAACUACGUGCCAGCAGCCGCGGUAAUUC
Molecule: ribosomal RNA, 512 nt
Filed under: uncultured bacterium
Lineage: Bacteria
Description: bacterial SSU rRNA
Rfam family: Bacterial small subunit ribosomal RNA
Source: RNAcentral